RNAcentral lists this long non-coding RNA (854 nucleotides) under Homo sapiens (human). Its description in RNAcentral is "uncharacterized LOC107984195, transcript variant 8 (LOC107984195)". Lineage: Eukaryota; Metazoa; Chordata; Mammalia; Primates; Hominidae. The record is from RNAcentral.
CUACAUUCCGUGGCAGCCUGGCUCCAACAUCCCAGGGAAUUGUGUCACUCCCAUUGAGCAGCUGUGGGGCCCUCUCCCACAUGGCCCAGGUCCACCACUCUGUCAAAGGUCGCACAGCCCAGACAAAAACAGGACACAGCAGUGUGUGAAUGAGCCGGGCUUUCUCCUUCCCUCCACGUAAUAGAAGGUGCCUGAGGUUGUUGAAACACAGUCCAUUUCUCCUGGGAAUGACAAGAAUUUGAGGGAUGCUGACUUUCAAGGAAUACUGCAUGACAGGCAUCAAGAUAAACCUGAUGAAGAAAACAUAGGCCAGAAUCUGGGAAUCGGGAGCAAAGUAAUACAGCUUCGGGGACAGGCACGUAAUGAGGUCAUGAUGUAGGAGACUCCCUGCAGGACUGGCGGCCCCUGUUCCCUGGGUUGUUCUGGCUCUUUCAGAUUUAUAUGUUAACAAGCUGAAUUCCUGCUUCAUCUGGAGGACUGCACAGUGUAUCUGAGAGAGGAUUUUCAGGAGGCCAGAAAAUCAAGCUGGAGGGAUUUUCAGCGUGUUGGGAGAUUGCUACCUGUUUUAAGUCAGGCCAUUGCCACGUCUUUUUCCCCACCUUGGAGACUUCAGGCCUUCAGACAACACUCCCGCACUGGGUUUAUGAGAGUAACCCCCACCUUCCCAGGAAGUUGGAAGCAUUGCCCCAGCCUUUCCAGAAGCUCUGCCUGCCGUUAGCUUGGAUCAUGAAAAUUGGCUCGGCCAGGAGAAUACAUUAUAAGGCCCCAAACCGCGCCAAAUCUUAAGCCCUCAGAGCAUAAAGAUAAACUGAUUUACAAUUAUUUUCAUUAAAAUGUCAUUUUAGGUAUAUGAA